UCAGUAUCAUCUUACAAACGUAUUUGUUUUAAUCGUUACACCAACCGUAUAAAACCAUCCAACUUGUUUAUUUUAAAAAUGAGUGUUAUAACCAACCAAGCGAACAUACAUUACUCAUGCAUAAUAGUAUACUAGAUUUUGACACGCGCUUUCAAAGCGCGGGUUUUUUUUUGUUUUUUUUUUUAAUUGACAAAUAUUUAGUAAAUGUCACAUUUUCAUAUAUUUGUGCUUUAUUUUAUAAAAGACUUAAAAUUUUUAUCUUUAUUUAUCGUAUUUCAUUUUAAAUGACUAUUUAUGUUUAAAAAAUUAAACUAUUUUUUUUAAUAAAUUAAGUUGGUAUAACUUUGAUAAAUUAAU
Molecule: long non-coding RNA, 357 nt
Filed under: Brassica rapa (field mustard)
Lineage: Eukaryota; Viridiplantae; Streptophyta; Magnoliopsida; Brassicales; Brassicaceae
Description: long non-coding RNA (BRAP_LNC005569)
Source: RNAcentral